RNAcentral lists this small nuclear RNA (92 nucleotides) under Mus spretus (western wild mouse). Lineage: Eukaryota; Metazoa; Chordata; Mammalia; Rodentia; Muridae. The record is from RNAcentral.
GGAUACUUAUACAUAUACUAAAAUUGGAACAAUACAGAGCAUGGCCCCUGCACAAGGAUGACAUACAGAUUCAUAAAGCAUUCUGUAAUAGG